Molecule: non-coding RNA, 31 nt
Filed under: Mus musculus (house mouse)
Lineage: Eukaryota; Metazoa; Chordata; Mammalia; Rodentia; Muridae
Source: RNAcentral
UGCUCUGUGCAUUCAUGGGACAAGAAUGAUC